Molecule: long non-coding RNA, 343 nt
Organism: Myotis brandtii (Brandt's bat)
Lineage: Eukaryota; Metazoa; Chordata; Mammalia; Chiroptera; Vespertilionidae
Exons: 2
Source: RefSeq, a predicted model, not a curated record
CCCUGUUUCACAAAGAUAUGUUGUUGGAAGAAGAAGGCGCAACACAGUCUCAGACAGAACAGGACAUGACUGCAAACACUUGAUCCAGAAUUUUGUAACUGGCAUUAUAGAGAAAUCAGUUCUCACUGCAUUGUUGUUAAUAAGUUCAAUGAACUCCUCUUAUGAUGUCUCGGGAACAUCUUCAACUUUGUGAAUGGGCUUCUGGCAAGUCCAAAUGGGGUUUCAGGCAGAUUUGGAAAGUACGAUGAAAUUUCGUCUGCAACUGAAGUUUCAUUUGGAAUGAUAGGAUCUUUUCAGACAAAUCGAGGCAUGUUGCAUUUGGUCCUUGCAGUGAUAAAUUUAA